Molecule: long non-coding RNA, 315 nt
Filed under: Elaeis guineensis (African oil palm)
Lineage: Eukaryota; Viridiplantae; Streptophyta; Magnoliopsida; Arecales; Arecaceae
Description: long non-coding RNA (EGUI_LNC055411)
Source: RNAcentral
UCCAGUGCCUAAGUGCAGUGAGUUGCUUACAAGUCACCGUGGUGGUCUCAGGUUGGAGGGACAUUUAUACCCAUAUCCCAUCGGAGCAAAUCUUGACAGCAGAAAUAGCUCCGGAGUUGGUCACGUUCAGUGCAGAUGUACCAUUACAUCUCACCUGUAUACCAUACCAGUGUCUCCACACUCUUUGGUUAUGAGGACAACCAACCCAUAUGGCACACAACGACCUAUGCUCGAUAAACGUUGUCGUCCUUGGUAACAAUGUAUCAUUUGGUCGCGAACAUGUUUAAGGACUAAGCGACAAAUCCUCCUUUGUCG